This 126-nucleotide small RNA is filed under the name Marmota monax (woodchuck). Lineage: Eukaryota; Metazoa; Chordata; Mammalia; Rodentia; Sciuridae. The record is from RNAcentral.
GCUGGGUGCAGUGGCGCACAUCUGUAAUCCCAGUGACUUGGGAGUCUGAGGCAGGAGGAUCAUGAGUUCAAAGCCAGCCUCAACAAAAAAGUGAGGCACUAAGCAACUCAUGAAACCCUAUCUCUA